Molecule: ribosomal RNA, 496 nt
Filed under: uncultured bacterium
Lineage: Bacteria
Description: partial 16S ribosomal RNA
Rfam family: Bacterial small subunit ribosomal RNA
Source: RNAcentral
GAUGAACGCUGGCGGCGUGCCUAAUACAUGCAAGUCGAGCGAACGGACGAGAAGCUUGCUUCUCUGAUGUUAGCGGCGGACGGGUGAGUAACACGUGGAUAACCUACCUAUAAGACUGGGAUAACUUCGGGAACCGGAGCUAAUACCGGAUAAUAUUUUUAACCGCAUGGUUCAAAAGUGAAAGACGGUCUUGCUGUCACUUAUAGAUGGAUCCGCGCUGCAUUAGCUAGUUGGUAAGGUAACGGCUUACCAAGGCAACGAUGCAUAGCCGACCUGAGAGGGUGAUCGGCCACACUGGAACUGAGACACGGUCCAGACUCCUACGGGAGGCAGCAGUAGGGAAUCUUCCGCAAUGGGCGAAAGCCUGACGGAGCAACGCCGCGUGAGUGAUGAAGGUCUUCGGAUCGUAAAACUCUGUUAUUAGGGAAGAACAUAUGUGUAAGUAACUGUGCACAUCUUGACGGUACCUAAUCAGAAAGCCACGGCUAACUACGUG